GGGGACAAGUCCAGGGACGCAGUGGCCGGUGAUGGAGGAGUCUUCAUGGAGGGGACGGGGGUUCCUUGUGCCACCACGGUGCCAGAGGACACAGGGAUCCUCGUCACCACGGUCUAUGGAGAGGACUUGGACAUGGUGGCCAAUGCUGGAGACACCUUCGUGGAGAAGAUGAAGGAUCCUGGUGCCACCACGGUGCCCGGGGACACGGGGACCCCCGUGACCACGGAUGGGACCACAGUGGGACAUGUCACCAUGGUCUACGGAGGAGACAGGGACACGGUGGCCAAUGAUGGAGAUGUCUUCCUGGAGGGGACGCAGGGACCCAGUGUCACCACCAUGUCGGGGGACGCGGGGACCCCCGUCACCAGUGUCUACACCAUGGAUGUGGUAGGACAUGUCAUCCAGGGAGGUGACAGGGACGCGGUGGCCACCGAUGGAGGCAUCUUCAUGGAGGGGACGGAGGAUCCUGAUGCCACCACGGUGCCCGGGGACACGGAGACCCCCGUGACCACGAUCUACGGAGGGGACAUGGACACGGUGGCCACCGAUGAAGGUGUCUUCAUGGAGGGGACGCAGGGACCAGGUGCCACCACGGAGCUUGGGGACAUGAGUACCUCCAUCACCACGCUCCAUGCCAUGGACAGGACCAC
Molecule: long non-coding RNA, 650 nt
Filed under: Struthio camelus australis
Lineage: Eukaryota; Metazoa; Chordata; Aves; Struthioniformes; Struthionidae
Description: lncRNA (ENSSCUG00000000062.1)
Source: RNAcentral